UUGGACCUGAUAUCAAGUAAGAUUACCCGCUGAACUUAAGCAUAUUAAUAAGCGGAGGAAAAGAAACUAACAAGGAUUCCCCUAGUAACGGCGAGUGAAGCGGGAUGAGCUCAAGCUUAAAAUCUCUGUGCCAGUUUGGCAUGGCGAAUUGUAGUCUAUGGAGGCGCUGUCAGUGCGAUUGUUCGGGGUAAGUUCCUUGGAAGAGGACAGCAUCGAGGGUGAUACUCCCGUAUGUACCUGUUCAAUUGCGCGUACGACACGUUUUCUUCGAGUCGCGUUGUUUGGGAAUGCAGCGCAAAGUAGGUGGUAAAUUCCAUCUAAAGCUAAAUAUUGGUGCGAGACCGAUAGCGAACAAGUACCGUGAGGGAAAGAUGAAAAGAACUUUGAAAAGAGAGUUAAAGAGUACCUGAAACUGCUGAAAGGGAACCGAAUCGUAUCCAGUGUCUAUAAUCCAUGGCAUAUUUCAUUGGCGAGUGAGUGCGUGCAGCGUUUUGGAAGUGGUUUUCCGCUCCUGUCGUUGUUGUGCAUUUGCUUGCUGGUGCCCUGUGCUGUGGUGGGACGUCAGAGUCAGUUUGUGUGUCGCGGGAAAUGGUUAUUGGGGAGGUAGGUCGCUUCGGUGGCUAUUAUAUCCUGGUAACUAGUCGUCGUGGCUGAGACUGAGGUGCCUACAAUGUGCUUUCGAGUGUGCGAGUUUCUCGUGUGGCUGUUUGCUUUGAUAGCUUGCUAUGUUGGUGAAUAAGUUGUGCGAUUGAGACCUGUAUUAACUUGUUGCCGUUCGGGACUUUGACGAAAUGGAGCGAUCCGACCCGUCUUGAAACACGGACCAAGGAGUCUAACAUGUGUGCAAGUGUUAGGGUGUGGAAACCCCAGCGCGAAAUGAAAGUAAAGGACAGCCUAGCUGUCUGAGGUAGGAAACCUUUGUUUACAGGGGUGGCACUAUCGACCGAUCAUGAACCUUCGUGGUGAAAGAUUUGAGUUUGAGCACAUAUGUUGGUACCCGAAAGAUGGUGAACUAUGCCUGAGUAGGGUGAAGCCAGGGGAAACUCUGGUGGAGGCUCGUAGCGAUUCUGACGUGCAAAUCGAUCGUCAAACUUGGGUAUAGGGGCGAAAGACUAAUCGAACCAUCUAGUAGCUGGUUCCCUCCGAAAUUUCCCUCAGGAUAGCAGCAACUUAUUUACGAUAGUUUUAUGAGGUAAAGCGAAUGAUUAGAGGAUUCGGGGAAGAAACUUCCUUGACCUAUUCUCAAACUUUAAAUCUGUAAGACCUGCAGGUUUCUUAAUUGAACUUGUGGAUGUGAAUAUCAAGUUGCUAGUGGGCCAUACCGGGUAAGCUGGUCUGGCG
This 1341-nucleotide ribosomal RNA is filed under the name Pythium volutum. Its description in RNAcentral is "eukaryotic LSU rRNA". It matches the Rfam family "Eukaryotic large subunit ribosomal RNA", at positions 1 to 1155 of the family's 3401-position model. Lineage: Eukaryota; Oomycota; Peronosporomycetes; Pythiales; Pythiaceae. The record is from RNAcentral.